GCCAUUAACUGGGAUGUGGAGGUUGCUUGGAAACAGCAGCCUGGCACUGGGGUGAUCUCAUAAAACAAAUAGCAGAGAUGCUAAUUCCCUUCUCUCAGUAAUGGAGACCAGCUGAAAAUAAACCACCUCCAGAUGCCUGGGCUGCCCAGCUCCUCCCCGGCCCUCCCAGGCCUGCAGCCCCAGGGGCCACGGAGAGCCCUUCAUGCUGCUGGGGGAGGGGAGGGGGAUAGCAAAUUCACCACCCGGCGCCUGUGGAGCUGAAUGGGGGACACUGGUGACAGAAGGGUCCGAGUGACAGAGAUACAAGUGGGACAGCAUUUCCACUAUGUGCUGGCCUAGGUACCCCCGCCCUCCUCUCGUUUGUUCUCUGAUGAGGCCAAGGAGAGGCUGUCCCCCAAGCCAAUCCGCUCAGGCUCCUGGGACCCGGCCGGGAGUGAUGACUGGGGUCCCCAGGAGGGAAUCAUUCACAGACCGAUCUGACCGCUUCAUUUCAGAGGCAGCACCGUGGUGAGGCAAAUGCCCAGUGUUUCAAGGGAGCAGUCCCUGCCUGCCCACUGGCACUGUCAGCCCCUCUGUCCGCUGAGGGACAGGCAACCUGAAGCCCAGCAGGAUCCAGUGGAGAGACAAAUCACCACAGAGUCCCAGAACCUCUACUCCUUGCUCCUGCCUGGGUGCUGUCCCUACGCAGAGGGGGAAAAAAAGCACAUAGGGUGGGAACAGCCCUGGGAAGAUGAAGGGUCAGGACUUCUCAGAAGCUGCUGGGGAAGUACCCAUCAGCCACCCCAGCAAAGACAAGACCCAAAUGCUCUGCUUCCUCCUGAACUUCCCACUCUGUCUACAAAAAGGGAAGCAAUGGGUGCUCACCAACAGCGAGUCACAUGGAUAGGGCCUAUGCUCAGGACGUCAGAGGGUUCUCAGGACAAGGCUGGAGCCCUUUGGUCUUGGGCUUGACUUCACUGGGGUUGGCGGGGGGCAGGGAAAGUGCUGGGCGUGUGGGAGCCCCGGCUGGCCAGAGACCCUUGAAGGAAGUUACUUUUAUCUGGUGAAGCCCUGAAACCAGGCCUCAGGUCCAGAUGGCUAAAAGGCAAAAGCAACCCAACACUGAACUUGCCUCCAACACUGUU
Long non-coding RNA from Mustela erminea (ermine), 1124 nucleotides. RefSeq lists it as uncharacterized. Lineage: Eukaryota; Metazoa; Chordata; Mammalia; Carnivora; Mustelidae. The record is from RefSeq and is a predicted model, not a curated record. The transcript has 3 exons.